Corylus avellana is the source of this 798-nucleotide long non-coding RNA. RefSeq lists it as uncharacterized. NCBI's taxonomy places the organism in Eukaryota, Viridiplantae, Streptophyta, Magnoliopsida, Fagales, Betulaceae. The record is from RefSeq and is a predicted model, not a curated record.
GGGAGAGGGAAGAUGGAGAUGGAGGGAGAGAUUUGGGGAUUUAAAUUUUGAGUGAAAUUUGGAUUUCCUAAAUGGGUUGUAGGCGAAAAAAGAGUUGGGUUUGGCAAGCAGAUGGCCGGAGAGAGAGAGAGUGUGGGUUCGGCCGGAGACAGAGAGAGAUGGACCAGAUGAAUUUCAGAAAUCAUGGCAAGUAUGCAACCAUCUCCAGCAACGUUGAAUUUGUUACGGGGGAAGCUCAAAAGCUGGUACUAACCCAAUACAGGAAACGAAUUUCGUGCUUAGUGACUGUAAUCUGGAGAAUCACGAAGUAAUUUUUAAGGCCGUGCUAGCGGUGAAGAAGCAAAGCGGCAUCGUUGUUGUCUGGUACAAUGCGUUCUCCAAGGAGUCCUGGUGGUGCAGUGGAGCAAGAACCGAGUUGCUGCCGAUCGGAGAAGGGUUGCUUGUGACUAGAAUUGCUCGGACUGCCAAAAUUGGUGGCACUGGCUGUGGAAUUGGGAAGAGUCACUGGGUCGGGUUUGAGAAGGAUGCGCCGGUGGCAUGGUCCAGCCCGGUUGGAUUAACGUCUCCCAGAAAGACUGUGGGGUUCUGAUAAUUUGCGGUCUUCUGGGUCGGGUUCGAGAAGGAGAUGGAUCUGGGCAAGUGGAAGAGAUUGAGGAGGUCUGGUGUUGGGGGAUACAGAGAUUGAGGAACUUGAUUAGUUAUUAUUUAAUGAUUAAUUACAAAAAGUUUCACCACUGAGGAUGAUUAAUUGUCUAUUAUUUUGGGCUAGGGAGUAUUUGCUGCACCUAUUCAUCCCCA